GACGAACGCUGGCGGCGUGCUUAACACAUGCAAGUCGAACGGACAGGCCCUGCUCUUGUGGGGUGCUCGAUUGGCGCACGGGUGAGUAACACGCGUGUAACCUCCCCCUGUCUUUGUGGUAACUUCUCGAAACUCGGGCUAAUACCGCAUAGGAUCUCCUGCUCCAUGGUGGUGGUUGGAAAAUUUCGGCGGUUGGGGAUGGACUCGCUGCUUAUGAGCUUGUUUGUGUGGUAGUGGCGUACCAAGGUUUUGACGGGUAGCCGGCCUGGGAGGGUGACCGGCGACAAUGGGACUAAGGUAGGGACCAGAAGGCAACGGGCGGCAGCAGUGGGAAACAUUGCGGAACAGGGGGAAGUCAGAUGCAGAGACGCCGCGUGCGGGAUGACGGGUUACGGGUUGUAAACAGAUUUCGCCUGAGACGAAGCGUGAGUGACGGUAAUGGGUAAAGAAGCACCGGCUAACUACGUG
Molecule: ribosomal RNA, 468 nt
Filed under: uncultured bacterium
Lineage: Bacteria
Description: partial 16S ribosomal RNA
Rfam family: Bacterial small subunit ribosomal RNA
Source: RNAcentral